UGGGGAAUCUUGGACAAUGGGCGCAAGCCUGAUCCAGCAACGCCGCGUGCGGGAAGAAGGCCCUAGGGUUGUAAACCGCUUUCAGCAGGGAAGAAAAUGACGGUACCUGCAGAAGAAGGUGCGGCCAACUACGUGCCAGCAGCCGCGGUGACACGUAGGCACCAAGCGUUGUCCGGAUUUAUUGGGCGUAAAGAGCUCGUAGGCGGUUCAGUAAGUCGGGUGUGAAAACUCUGGGCUCAACCCAGAGAGGCCACCCGAUACUGCUGUGACUUGAGUACGGUAGGGGAGCGGGGAAUUCCUGGUGUAGCGGUGAAAUGCGCAGAUAUCAGGAGGAACACCAGUGGCGAAGGCGCCGCUCUGGGCCGUAACUGACGCUGAGGAGCGAAAGCAUGGGUAGCAAAGCAGGAUUAGAUACCCUGGUAGUCCAUGCCGUAAACGUUGGGCACUAGGUGUGGGUCUCAACCAACGAGAUCCGCGCCGUCGCUAACGCAUUAAGUGCCCCGCCUGGGGAGUACGGUCGCAAGACUAAAACUCAAAUGAAUU
Molecule: ribosomal RNA, 543 nt
Filed under: uncultured bacterium
Lineage: Bacteria
Description: bacterial SSU rRNA
Rfam family: Bacterial small subunit ribosomal RNA
Source: RNAcentral